GAACAGUCAUUGUCCUUGAGUAGGGCGGGACACGUGAAAUCCUGUCUGAACAUGGGGAGACCACUCUCCAAGCCUAAGUACUCGUGCAUGACCGAUAGCGAACAAGUACCGUGAGGGAAAGGUGAAAAGCACCCCGACGAGGGGAGUGAAAUAGAACCUGAAACCGGAUGCCUACAAACAGUCGGAGCCCGCAAGGGUGACGGCGUACCUUUUGUAUAAUGGG
RNAcentral lists this ribosomal RNA (223 nucleotides) under Mesorhizobium sp. Its description in RNAcentral is "partial 23S ribosomal RNA". It matches the Rfam family "Bacterial large subunit ribosomal RNA", at positions 393 to 619 of the family's 2925-position model. Lineage: Bacteria; Pseudomonadati; Pseudomonadota; Alphaproteobacteria; Hyphomicrobiales; Phyllobacteriaceae. The record is from RNAcentral.